GACGAACGCUGGCGGCGUGCUUAACACAUGCAAGUCGAACGGAAAGGCCUCUUUCGGGGGGUACUCGAGUGGCGAACGGGUGAGUAACACGUGAGUAACCUGCCCUUGACUUUGGGAUAACUUCAGGAAACUGGGGCUAAUACCGGAUAGGAGCUCCUGCUGCAUGGUGGGGGUUGGAAAGUUUCGGCGGUUGGGGAUGGACUCGCGGCUUAUCAGCUUGUUGGUGGGGUAGUGGCUUACCAAGGCUUUGACGGGUAGCCGGCCUGAGAGGGUGACCGGCCACAUUGGGACUGAGAGACGGCCCAGACUCCUACGGGAGGCAGCAGUGGGGAAUAUUGCACAAUGGGUGGAAGCCUGAUGCAGCAACGCCGUGUGCGGGAGGACGGCCUUCGGGUUGGAAACCGCUUUCGCUCAUGACGAAGCUUUGUGUGACGGUAGUGGGUAAAGAAGCACCGGCUAACUACGUG
Molecule: ribosomal RNA, 467 nt
Filed under: uncultured bacterium
Lineage: Bacteria
Description: partial 16S ribosomal RNA
Rfam family: Bacterial small subunit ribosomal RNA
Source: RNAcentral